This 496-nucleotide ribosomal RNA is filed under the name uncultured bacterium. RNAcentral's name for it is "partial 16S ribosomal RNA". It matches the Rfam family "Bacterial small subunit ribosomal RNA", at positions 28 to 507 of the family's 1533-position model. The record is from RNAcentral.
GAUGAACGCUGGCGGCGUGCCUAAUACAUGCAAGUCGAGCGAACGGACGAGAAGCUUGCUUCUCUGAUGUUAGCGGCGGACGGGUGAGUAACACGUGGAUAACCUACCUAUAAGACUGGGAUAACUUCGGGAAACCGGAGCUAAUACCGGAUAAUAUUUUGAACCGCAUGGUUCAAAAGUGAAAGACGGUCUUGCUGUCACUUAUAGAUGGAUCCGCGCUGCAUUAGCUAGUUGGUAAGGUAACGGCUUACCAAGGCAACGAUGCAUAGCCGACCUGAGAGGGUGAUCGGCCACACGGGAACUGAGACACGGUCCAGACUCCUACGGGAGGCAGCAGUAGGGAAUCUUCCGCAAUGGGCGAAAGCCUGACAGAGCAACGCCGCGUGAGUGAUGAAGGUCUUCGGAUCGUAAAACUCUGUUAUUAGGGAAGAACAUAUGUGUAAGUAACUGUGCACAUCUUGACGGUACCUAUCAGAAAGCCACGGCUAACUACGUG